UAGCUAGAAUUGACACAUGAGGA
Molecule: non-coding RNA, 23 nt
Filed under: Rattus norvegicus (Norway rat)
Lineage: Eukaryota; Metazoa; Chordata; Mammalia; Rodentia; Muridae
Source: RNAcentral